GACGAACGCUGGCGGCGUGCCUAAUACAUGCAAGUCGAGCGGACGGAUGGGAGCUUGCUCCCAGACCGUCAGCGGCGGACGGGUGAGUAACACGUGGGCAACCUGCCUGUAAGACUGGGAUAACUCCGGGAAACCGGGGCUAAUACCGGAUAACUCUUUCCCUCACAUGAGGGAAAGCUGAAAGAUGGCAUCUCGCUAUCACUUACAGAUGGGCCCGCGGCGCAUUAGCUAGUUGGUGAGGUAACGGCUCACCAAGGCGACGAUGCGUAGCCGACCUGAGAGGGUGAUCGGCCACACUGGGACUGAGACACAGCCCAGACUCCUACGGGAGGCAGCAGUAGGGAAUCUUCCGCAAAGGACGAAAGUCUGACGGAGCAACGCCGCGUGAGUGAUGAAGGUUUUCGGAUCGUAAAACUCUGUUGUCAGGGAAGAACAAGUACCGGAGUAACUGCCGGUACCUUGACGGUACCUGACCAGAAAGCCACGGCUAACUACGUG
RNAcentral lists this ribosomal RNA (498 nucleotides) under uncultured bacterium. Its description in RNAcentral is "partial 16S ribosomal RNA". It matches the Rfam family "Bacterial small subunit ribosomal RNA", at positions 28 to 507 of the family's 1533-position model. The record is from RNAcentral.